UACGUAGGGUGCGAGCGUUAAUCGGAAUUACUGGGCGUAAGCGUGCGCAGGCGGUUUUGUAAGCCAGGUGUGAAAUCCCCGGGCUCAACCUGGGAAUGGCAUUUGGGACUGCAAGGCUGGAGUGCGGCAGAGGAGACUGGAAUUCCUGGUGUAGCAGUGAAAUGCGUAGAUAUCAGGAGGAAUACCGAUGGCGAAGGCAGGUCUCUGGGCUGACACUGACGCUCAUGACACGAAAGCG
This 238-nucleotide ribosomal RNA is filed under the name uncultured bacterium. RNAcentral's name for it is "partial 16S ribosomal RNA". It matches the Rfam family "Bacterial small subunit ribosomal RNA", at positions 524 to 761 of the family's 1533-position model. The record is from RNAcentral.